Transfer RNA from Ovis aries (sheep), 72 nucleotides. It matches the Rfam family "tRNA". From Rfam's summary of the family: Transfer RNA (tRNA) molecules are approximately 80 nucleotides in length. Their secondary structure includes four short double-helical elements and three loops (D, anti-codon, and T loops). Further hydrogen bonds mediate the characteristic L-shaped molecular structure. tRNAs have two regions of fundamental functional importance: the anti-codon, which is responsible for specific mRNA codon recognition, and the 3' end, to which the tRNAs corresponding amino acid is attached (by aminoacyl-tRNA synthetases). tRNAs cope with the degeneracy of the genetic code in two manners: having more than one tRNA (with a specific anti-codon) for a particular amino acid; and 'wobble' base-pairing, i.e. permitting non-standard base-pairing at the 3rd anti-codon position. Lineage: Eukaryota; Metazoa; Chordata; Mammalia; Artiodactyla; Bovidae. The record is from Rfam.
UCCCUGGUGGCUCAGCUGGUAGAGAAUCCACCUGCAAUGCGGGAGACCUGGGUUCAAUCCCUGGGCUGGGAA